RNAcentral lists this ribosomal RNA (406 nucleotides) under uncultured bacterium. RNAcentral describes it as "partial 16S ribosomal RNA". It matches the Rfam family "Bacterial small subunit ribosomal RNA", at positions 30 to 526 of the family's 1533-position model. The record is from RNAcentral.
AUUGAACGCUGGCGGCAGGCCUAACACAUGCAAGUCGAGCGAGCGGCGGACGGGUGAGCAAUGUAUGGGGACCUGCCCGAUAUAGGGGGAUAACUACUGGAACCGGUGGCUAAUACCGCUUACUAUCCGAUCAACCCCUAUGGGAUUAGCUAGUGGGUGGGGUAAAGGCUCACCUAGGCGACGAUCUCUAGCUGGUCUGAGAGGAUGAUCAGCCACACUGGGACUGAGACACGGCCCAGACUCCGACGGGAGGCAGCAGUGGGGAAUAUUGCACAAUGGGCGAAAGCCUGAUGCAGCCAUGCCGCGUGUAUGAAGAAGGCCUUAGGGUUGUAAAGUACUUUCAGCGGGGAGGCGUUACCCGAAGAAGAAGCACCGGCUAACUCCGUGCCAGCAGCCGCGGUAAUAC